UAUAGAUAGGGAAUUAAAGCAAGUGUGAGUCAAUGUAAAACUGCUUGAUGACCUUACCCACCAGGCCAAGGGAGAAGAAUUCCACACGUCGUUUGGUGCAGUCUGUGACUUGACUUCAUUUGAGUAAAACGUCAACCUGUUACUGUGCCAGGAAUUGCAUACCUUUCUCCUCUCUUUCCUCCUACGAGAUAUUCCUUAACAGCUGUCCCUUCUGCCCUAACGUUGCUUCAAGUGGUUUGUUGUCAAAGUUUGUUAAUUGGUAAUAGGUCCAAUGAGGUACAUUGGGACAUUAAAGGCCAGAUGCAAAUACUGGUUGUUUUGUUUCUUGUUUGUUAUGUGCUUACUGUUUGUCCUUUCCUCCCCGAUCUGCACACUUUGUAGAUCAAAUACAAGGAAAAUGUUGGUCAAGGAACUGCAAUCUCCGACCUGCCUGAGGUGCAGCGUGUGAAGGAGACACAGAAGAACAUCAGCUCGAUCAAAUACAAGGAAAAUGUUGGUCAAGGAACAGCAAUCUCUGACCUGCCUGAGGUGCAGCGUGUGAAGGAAACACAGAA
This is a non-coding RNA of Chiloscyllium plagiosum (whitespotted bambooshark), 554 nucleotides long. The record is from RefSeq and is a predicted model, not a curated record. Lineage: Eukaryota; Metazoa; Chordata; Chondrichthyes; Orectolobiformes; Hemiscylliidae.